RNAcentral lists this ribosomal RNA (253 nucleotides) under uncultured bacterium. RNAcentral describes it as "partial 16S ribosomal RNA". It matches the Rfam family "Bacterial small subunit ribosomal RNA", at positions 524 to 776 of the family's 1533-position model. The record is from RNAcentral.
UACAGAGGUCUCAAGCGUUGUUCGGAUUCAUUGGGCGUAAAGGGUGUGUAGGUGGCGCGCUAAGUCGGGUGUGAAAUUUCGGAGCUUAACUCCGAAACUGCAUUCGAUACUGGCGUGCUUGAGGACUGGAGAGGAGACUGGAAUUCAUGGUGUAGCAGUGAAAUGCGUAGAUAUCGUAAGGAAGACCAGUGGCGAAGGCGGGUCUCUGGACAGUUCCUGACGCUGAGGCACGAAGGUCAGGGGAGCAAACGGG